CCUGUGAAGGUGUGCUGUGAGGCAUGCUGGAGGUAUCAGAAGUGCGAAUGCUGACAUAAGUAACGAUAAAGCGGGUGAAAAGCCCGCUCGCCGGAAGACCAAGGGUUCCUGUCCAACGUUAAUCGGGGCAGGGUGAGUCGACCCCUAAGGCGAGGCCGAAAGGCGUAGUCGAUGGGAAACAGGUUAAUAUUCCUGUACUUGGUGUUACUGCGAAGGGGGGACGGAGAAGGCUAUGUUGGCCGGGCGACGGUUGUCCCGGUUUAAGCGUGUAGGCUGGUUUUCCAGGCAAAUCCGGAAAAUCAAGGCUGAGGCGUGAUGACGAGGCACUACGGUGCUGAAGCAACAAAUGCCCUGCUUCCAGGAAAAGCCUCUAAGCAUCAGGUAACAUUAAAUCGUACCCCAAACCGACACAGGUGGUCAGGUAGAGAAUACCAAGGCGCUUGAGAGAACUCGGGUGAAGGAACUAGGCAAAAUGGUGCCGUAACUUCGGGAGAAGGCACGCUGAUAUGUAGGUGAAGUCCCUCGCGGAUGGAGCUGAAAUCAGUCGAAGAUACCAGCUGGCUGCAACUGUUUAUUAAAAACACAGCACUGUGCAAACACGAAAGUGGACGUAUACGGUGUGACGCCUGCCCGGUGCCGGAAGGUUAAUUGAUGGGGUUAGCGGUAACGCGAAGCUCUUGAUCGAAGCCCCGGUAAACGGCGGCCGUAACUAUAACGGUCCUAAGGUAGCGAAAUUCCUUGUCGGGUAAGUUCCGACCUGCACGAAUGGCGUAAUGAUGGCCAGGCUGUCUCCACCCGAGACUCAGUGAAAUUGAACUCGCUGUGAAGAUGCAGUGUACCCGCGGCAAGACGGAAAGACCCCGUGAACCUUUACUAUAGCUUGACACUGAACAUUGAGCCUUGAUGUGUAGGAUAGGUGGGAGGCUUUGAAGUGUGGACGCCAGUCUGCAUGGAGCCGACCUUGAAAUACCACCCUUUAAUGUUUGAUGUUCUAACGUUGACCCGUAAUCCGGGUUGCGGACAGUGUCUGGUGGGUAGUUUGACUGGGGCGGUCUCCUCCUAAAGAGUAACGGAGGAGCACGAAGGUUGGCUAAUCCUGGUCGGACAUCAGGAGGUUAGUGCAAUGGCAUAAGCCAGCUUGACUGCGAGCGUGACGGCGCGAGCAGGUGCGAAAGCAGGUCAUAGUGAUCCGGUGGUUCUGAAUGGAAGGGCCAUCGCUCAACGGAUAAAAGGUACUCCGGGGAUAACAGGCUGAUACCGCCCAAGAGUUCAUAUCGACGGCGGUGUUUGGCACCUCGAUGUCGGCUCAUCACAUCCUGGGGCUGAAGUAGGUCCCAAGGGUAUGGCUGUUCGCCAUUUAAAGUGGUACGCGAGCUGGGUUUAGAACGUCGUGAGACAGUUCGGUCCCUAUCUGCCGUGGGCGCUGGAGAACUGAGGGGGGCUGCUCCUAGUACGAGAGGACCGGAGUGGACGCAUCACUGGUGUUCGGGUUGUCAUGCCAAUGGCACUGCCCGGUAGCUAAAUGCGGAAGAGAUAAGUGCUGAAAGCAUCUAAGCACGAAACUUGCCCCGAGAUGAGUUCUCCCUGAC
RNAcentral lists this ribosomal RNA (1589 nucleotides) under human gut metagenome. RNAcentral describes it as "bacterial LSU rRNA". It matches the Rfam family "Bacterial large subunit ribosomal RNA", at positions 1247 to 2819 of the family's 2925-position model. The record is from RNAcentral.